Fukomys damarensis (Damara mole-rat) is the source of this 549-nucleotide long non-coding RNA. RefSeq lists it as uncharacterized. The record is from RefSeq and is a predicted model, not a curated record. The transcript is spliced from 3 exons. NCBI's taxonomy places the organism in Eukaryota, Metazoa, Chordata, Mammalia, Rodentia, Bathyergidae.
UAGCGGCCGAAGUCUUUUUUGCGGGAGUGAAAGAGCCAGUUUUGGAUCCCUAGACCUGUCCCUUGCAGAGGGGUGGGGAUUUGGAAUCCGCAGCUGAGAGGAGUGAGGGAACAUCUUUAUUCAGCAGGUUUCCCAGACAACGUUGGAGGCUCCGAACAUCCUUCAACACCUCCGUGAGGGCUGCUUUUGUCAAGGAGCAGUCUCUCUCUGCCAACGGCGCUGCAACCAUGGGAGGAAUUCCAAUAAUUGACACCAUCGACGAAGACACCGAAAUCCUAACACGAAAGUCGAGCAUGAGUUCAUUCUGCAGUGUGGCUGCCAGUGAAAACAACAACAGCAGCAAUGAUGAUUGUUCAUUGUUGUGAACAGAUGUGUUUCUGUUCAGCCAGGAAUGACAACAUUUGGACAUCCUGGACACACCGUCGUACUGUACCAGUGAGCACACAGCAGCACAUCAGUGACAGUGUCCGGCAGACAUGUGAGCUACUUCUGUAAUUUGUUGGCAACUACUAAUGUUUGCAAUGUGAAGUCUGUCUGUACUUUUGAAAG